GCCGAAGUGGUGGAAUUGGUAGACACGCUAGACUUAGGAUCUAGUACCGCGAGGUGUGGAAGUUCAAGUCUUCUCUUCGGUACCA
Molecule: transfer RNA, 85 nt
Filed under: Desulfamplus sp.
Lineage: Bacteria; Pseudomonadati; Thermodesulfobacteriota; Desulfobacteria; Desulfobacterales; Desulfobacteraceae
Description: tRNA-Leu
Rfam family: tRNA
About the family: Transfer RNA (tRNA) molecules are approximately 80 nucleotides in length. Their secondary structure includes four short double-helical elements and three loops (D, anti-codon, and T loops). Further hydrogen bonds mediate the characteristic L-shaped molecular structure. tRNAs have two regions of fundamental functional importance: the anti-codon, which is responsible for specific mRNA codon recognition, and the 3' end, to which the tRNAs corresponding amino acid is attached (by aminoacyl-tRNA synthetases). tRNAs cope with the degeneracy of the genetic code in two manners: having more than one tRNA (with a specific anti-codon) for a particular amino acid; and 'wobble' base-pairing, i.e. permitting non-standard base-pairing at the 3rd anti-codon position.
Source: RNAcentral